CUCAAAGAUCAAGUGAAAGAUAUGGGAAGGUCUGGUCGAACCAAAAUAAAUCAAGUGCACAAUGCAAUUUAAACUAAACCGAGAAAAUAUGCAAUUAUGAACCGAAAUGAAAUAAAGUAUGCAAAAAUUAUUUUUCUUUUGGUUUUCUCAAUGCAAACACGAAAUGAAUCAAUAUGAUAUGAUAAUAAACACAAAUGAAAAGAAAAUAUGGAAAGCAAACUAAUGCUGAUAUAUUUUUUUUUUUUUUUAUAAUUUUCUUUGAUGCAAACAAUUAAACCACUUAUGCAAAAGAUAUAAACUAAGCUUGAAAAUAUUUUAUUUUUAUUUUCUGAUGCAAUCACGAAAUGGACCAACUAAUAUGAUAUGAAACAAUAACUAGGAUGAUUUCUUUUGGCUUUUAAAUUUAUGGAUGCAAAUGAAAAGGAAUCAAAUUCAAAACAGCACUUUUUAUGGUAUUUUCUUUUAUGGAAACUAAUGAAUGCAAACACUUUUCUUUUGGGAUUUUCGAUUUUAAAUGAAUCAAACAAAACUUUUUCUUUUCUUUUUCGUGGCUCUUAGCAGGAUGAACAGCAAGAACACAAAACAAAUGCAGAAACAAAACUUGAAACAAAGAAACAGUUUUUUUAUGGAUUUUCG
Molecule: long non-coding RNA, 636 nt
Filed under: Brassica rapa (field mustard)
Lineage: Eukaryota; Viridiplantae; Streptophyta; Magnoliopsida; Brassicales; Brassicaceae
Description: long non-coding RNA (BRAP_LNC006850)
Source: RNAcentral